This 75-nucleotide transfer RNA is filed under the name Loktanella sp. RNAcentral describes it as "tRNA-Glu". It matches the Rfam family "tRNA". From Rfam's summary of the family: Transfer RNA (tRNA) molecules are approximately 80 nucleotides in length. Lineage: Bacteria; Pseudomonadati; Pseudomonadota; Alphaproteobacteria; Rhodobacterales; Roseobacteraceae. RNAcentral also lists the same sequence under 1 other name. The record is from RNAcentral.
GGUCCGUUCGUCUAUCGGUUAGGACGUCAGGUUUUCAACCUGAAAAGACGGGUUCGACUCCCGUACGGACUGCCA